RNAcentral lists this ribosomal RNA (550 nucleotides) under Wickerhamomyces sp. Its description in RNAcentral is "eukaryotic LSU rRNA". It matches the Rfam family "Eukaryotic large subunit ribosomal RNA", at positions 82 to 647 of the family's 3401-position model. The record is from RNAcentral. Lineage: Eukaryota; Fungi; Ascomycota; Saccharomycetes; Phaffomycetales; Wickerhamomycetaceae.
AGUACGGCGAGUGAGCGGCAAAAGCUCAAAUUUGAAAUCUAGCACCUUCGGUGUUCGAGUUGUAAUUUGAAGAUGGUAACCUUGGGUUUGGCUCUUGUCUAUGUUCCUUGGAACAGGACGUCAUAGAGGGUGAGAAUCCCGUCUGAUGAGAUGCCCAUUCCUAUGUAAGGUGCUAUCGAAGAGUCGAGUUGUUUGGGAAUGCAGCUCUAAGUGGGUGGUAAAUUCCAUCUAAAGCUAAAUAUUGGCGAGAGACCGAUAGCGAACAAGUACAGUGAUGGAAAGAUGAAAAGAACUUUGAAAAGAGAGUGAAAAAGUACGUGAAAUUGUUGAAAGGGAAGGGCAUUAGAUCAGACUUGGUGUUUUACGAUUAUCUUCUCUUCUUGAGCUGUGCACUCGUAUUUCACUGGGCCAGCAUCGAUUCGGAUGGCAAGAUAAUGGCAGUUGAAUGUGGCUUCACUUCGGUGGAGUGUUAUAGCUUCUGCUGAUAUUGCCUGUCUGGAUCGAGGGCUGCGUCUUUUGACUAGGAUGCUGGCGUAAUGAUCUAAUGCCG